This 1342-nucleotide ribosomal RNA is filed under the name uncultured bacterium. RNAcentral describes it as "bacterial SSU rRNA". It matches the Rfam family "Bacterial small subunit ribosomal RNA", at positions 28 to 1381 of the family's 1533-position model. The record is from RNAcentral.
GACGAACGCUGGCGGCGUGCUUAACACAUGCAAGUCGAACGAUGAUGCCCAGCUUGCUGGGUGGAUUAGUGGCGAACGGGUGAGUAACACGUGAGUAACCUGCCCCUGACUCUGGGAUAAGCGUUGGAAACGACGUCUAAUACUGGAUAUGAUCACCGGCCGCAUGGUCUGGUGGUGGAAAGAUUUUUUGGUUGGGGAUGGACUCGCGGCCUAUCAGCUUGUUGGUGAGGUAAUGGCUCACCAAGGCGACGACGGGUAGCCGGCCUGAGAGGGUGACCGGCCACACUGGGACUGAGACACGGCCCAGACUCCUACGGGGGGCAGCAGUGGGGAAUAUUGCACAAUGGGCGAAAGCCUGAUGCAGCAACGCCGCGUGAGGGAUGACGGCCUUCGGGUUGUAAACCUCUUUUAGUAGGGAAGAAGCGAAAGUGACGGUACCUGCAGAAAAAGCACCGGCUAACUACGUGCCAGCAGCCGCGGUAAUACGUAGGGUGCAAGCGUUGUCCGGAAUUAUUGGGCGUAAAGAGCUCGUAGGCGGUUUGUCGCGUCUGCUGUGAAAUCCCGAGGCUCAACCUCGGGCUUGCAGUGGGUACGGGCAGACUAGAGUGCGGUAGGGGAGAUUGGAAUUCCUGGUGUAGCGGUGGAAUGCGCAGAUAUCAGGAGGAACACCGAUGGCGAAGGCAGAUCUCUGGGCCGUAACUGACGCUGAGGAGCGAAAGCGUGGGGAGCGAACAGGAUUAGAUACCCUGGUAGUCCACGCCGUAAACGUUGGGCGCUAGAUGUAGGGACCUUUCCACGGUUUCUGUGUCGUAGCUAACGCAUUAAGCGCCCCGCCUGGGGAGUACGGCCGCAAGGCUAAAACUCAAAGGAAUUGACGGGGGCCCGCACAAGCGGCGGAGCAUGCGGAUUAAUUCGAUGCAACGCGAAGAACCUUACCAAGGCUUGACAUACACCGGAAACGGCCAGAGAUGGUCGCCCCCUUGUGGUCGGUGUACAGGUGGUGCAUGGUUGUCGUCAGCUCGUGUCGUGAGAUGUUGGGUUAAGUCCCGCAACGAGCGCAACCCUCGUUCUAUGUUGCCAGCGCGUUAUGGCGGGGACUCAUAGGAGACUGCCGGGGUCAACUCGGAGGAAGGUGGGGAUGACGUCAAAUCAUCAUGCCCCUUAUGUCUUGGGCUUCACGCAUGCUACAAUGGCCGGUACAAAGGGCUGCGAUACCGUAAGGUGGAGCGAAUCCCAAAAAGCCGGUCUCAGUUCGGAUUGAGGUCUGCAACUCGACCUCAUGAAGUCGGAGUCGCUAGUAAUCGCAGAUCAGCAACGCUGCGGUGAAUACGUUCCCGGGCCU